AUAGCAACAGCAGCGUAGCUGAACAUCUUACGGAUGGCCCAGGGCUCCAAAGGCUCGUUUCCUAAGUGAGAGAGAGCCUGGCUGAAGCUGUAUUACCAUUCAUUCUCCAGCCUCCGAAGUCUCAAAGCAUCACUUCCACCAUACUCUAACUGUCAAGACAAACACAAAGGCCCAGAAACUGCCAGACUGUCUUCUGAAGUGGCUAUAAUAUUUACACUCCCAUCAGCAGUGUAGAAGGGGUCUCACUAUGUUGUCUGGAGUGCUGUGGUGGAGUGGAGUGGCUAUUCACAGAGCCUGUUCUGCUGGGACACAGAAUCACUUGCUCCAUCUCAUACAUUGAUGAUGAUUAAUUUGUAUGUGUACCUUCCAAAAAAGAUGGUUGUGUUUGAAUGGAGGCCUUCUGGACAGGAAAAUGUUCAAUCCUGCUGAUGCUCUCCAUGGAGAUGGUCAGCAAGUGCAAAGUACAAUUAACAUUUGAGUCUGUCUGAGUCAUGAAGAAAUGGAGAUUACUGAAAAUAAUUCAUUUUGGUAUCUUCUUACAUCCUGAGAGACUAAUCUUUCCAAGUUCAUCUGAGGCUCCUCUUCUCCAUGACAACCUCAUCCAGGGAUUUCUUCCUGUCCUGGUGUUUUAUGACAUAAUCACAUCCUUCCUGAGAUAAUGAGCACACAAUUGCCUGGAUACCUGAAGGAAUGGAGACAGCGGCAGAAAACACUGCAGAGAGGUGGAAACAUCCGUUAAUAUUUUAAAAUCCCAUUACUGCUACCAACAAUAAUAAUGGAUGCAUAGAAAUAGAUCUGGAUUAGCUGAGCUUGAAACAGUCCAUCUCACACACACACAAAAGAAUUUCAGAUACAGUGAACCCACAUGUUGAAGCUUUCUAGUAUAAUAAAAAUUUCAACUGUUCUGUUGAAUCAUCUGCCUGAUUGGAGGCUACAGAAAAGAUGUCAUCUUAGGAGUGCUUGCUCUGAGUGAGGCUCAUCUUCAAAUCUGAAUGACCACAAGGAGAUUUGAUUAUACAUGUGAACACCUCAGAAGGCACAGCCCACCCAGAAGGCAGACAGGUCAGGCUGCUUUUUCUUCAUUGCUUGGAUUCAAUCCUCCGGGCGGCUCAGGCUCAAACAUAACUUAAGCAUGAUUAAACUUUAGAAGAAGCUGCCAGGAAGACUGUGAAAUCUUCAUGCCCAAGGAUCCCUAAAAUUAGGAGCAACAACCACUUGGCUCAGACGGUUUAUGGAGGCAAAGGUUUGGAUGGGAUUAGAGAUUUCUAAAUGUGAGUUCGUGUCCUCUGCCAGACCACCUUACUUCCACCAUUCCUCAGCAAAUCAAGAAAAACAGGAGAAAAGACAUGCCUUUCCAUAAGUUAAAUCUAUUCUGUUUUAAUUCUAUAUUAUAUCUGCUGUACAACUUCUUUUGUUUGUAACACCAUAUUGUUGCUAGUAACUGGAAAUUAAUUUUCACAUGCCUCAGCUUAGAAAAAUAAAAAGCAGCCCUGCAUCAAUCCCAA
Molecule: long non-coding RNA, 1505 nt
Filed under: Homo sapiens (human)
Lineage: Eukaryota; Metazoa; Chordata; Mammalia; Primates; Hominidae
Description: long intergenic non-protein coding RNA 635
Source: RNAcentral